Molecule: ribosomal RNA, 20 nt
Filed under: Candidatus Liberibacter asiaticus
Lineage: Bacteria; Pseudomonadati; Pseudomonadota; Alphaproteobacteria; Hyphomicrobiales; Rhizobiaceae
Description: partial 16S ribosomal RNA
Source: RNAcentral
UAAGGAAGAUGUUGAGUAUC